Aspergillus ruber CBS 135680 is the source of this 105-nucleotide transfer RNA. It matches the Rfam family "tRNA". Rfam says of the family: Transfer RNA (tRNA) molecules are approximately 80 nucleotides in length. Their secondary structure includes four short double-helical elements and three loops (D, anti-codon, and T loops). The record is from Rfam. NCBI's taxonomy places the organism in Eukaryota, Fungi, Ascomycota, Eurotiomycetes, Eurotiales, Aspergillaceae.
GCCGGGCUAGCUCAAUUGGUCAGAGCGUGUGACUUUUACGACCCCAUUUCGGGCGUGAAUGCACCCCCAAUCACAAGGUUGCGGGUUCGAGUCCCGCGUUCGGCU